UACAGAGGUCUCAAGCGUUGUUCGGAAUCACUGGGCGUAAAGGGUGCGUAGGCUGUGUUGUAAGUCAGAGGUGAAAUCCCGGGGCUCAACCCCGGAACUGCCUCCGAUACUGCAAGACUUGAGGACUGGAGAGGAGAUUGGAAUUCAUGGUGGAGCAGUGAAAUGCGUAGAUAUCAUGAGGAACGCUAGUGGCGUAGGCGAAUCUCUGGACAGUUCCUGACGCUGAGGCACGAAGGCCAGGGGAGCAAACGGGAUUAGAUACCCCGGUAGUCCUGGCAGUAAACGGUGCACGCUUGGUGUGGGAGGAAUCGACCCCUUCCGUGCCGGAGCUAACGCGUUAAGCGUGCCGCCUGGGAAGUACGGUCGCAAGACUA
Molecule: ribosomal RNA, 374 nt
Filed under: uncultured prokaryote
Description: bacterial SSU rRNA
Rfam family: Bacterial small subunit ribosomal RNA
Source: RNAcentral